CGAGGGUGCAAACGUUGCUCGGAUUUACUGGGCGUAAAGCGCGUGUAGGCGGACUCGCAAGUCGGUUGUGAAAUCCCUGGGCUCAACCUAGGAACUGCAUCCGAAACUGCUUGUCUUGAGUAAUGGAGAGGGUGGCGGAAUUCCCGGUGUAGAGGUGAAAUUCGUAGAUAUCGGGAGGAACAUCAGUGGCGAAGGCGGCCACCUGGACAUUUACUGACGCUGAGACGCGAAAGCGUGGGGAGCAAACAGGAUUAGAGACCCGAGUAGUCC
RNAcentral lists this ribosomal RNA (270 nucleotides) under uncultured archaeon. Its description in RNAcentral is "partial 16S ribosomal RNA". It matches the Rfam family "Bacterial small subunit ribosomal RNA", at positions 527 to 796 of the family's 1533-position model. The record is from RNAcentral.